This 672-nucleotide ribosomal RNA is filed under the name Streptomyces sp. GLT-Irr-18. Its description in RNAcentral is "bacterial SSU rRNA". It matches the Rfam family "Bacterial small subunit ribosomal RNA", at positions 138 to 824 of the family's 1533-position model. The record is from RNAcentral. Lineage: Bacteria; Bacillati; Actinomycetota; Actinomycetes; Kitasatosporales; Streptomycetaceae.
CUGGGACAAGCCCUGGAAACGGGGUCUAAUACCGGAUAACACUUCCACUCUCCUGAGUGGAGGUUGAAAGCUCCGGCGGUGAAGGAUGAGCCCGCGGCCUAUCAGCUUGUUGGUGAGGUAAUGGCUCACCAAGGCGACGACGGGUAGCCGGCCUGAGAGGGCGACCGGCCACACUGGGACUGAGACACGGCCCAGACUCCUACGGGAGGCAGCAGUGGGGAAUAUUGCACAAUGGGCGCAAGCCUGAUGCAGCGACGCCGCGUGGGGGAUGACGGCCUUCGGGUUGUAAACCCCUUUCAGCAGGGAAGAAGCGAAAGUGACGGUACCUGCAGAAGAAGCGCCGGCUAACUACGUGCCAGCAGCCGCGGUAAUACGUAGGGCGCAAGCGUUGUCCGGAAUUAUUGGGCGUAAAGAGCUCGUAGGCGGCUUGUCGCGUCGGUUGUGAAAGCCCGGGGCUUAACCCCGGGUCUGCAGUCGAUACGGGCAGGCUAGAGUUCGGUAGGGGAGAUCGGAAUUCCUGGUGUAGCGGUGAAAUGCGCAGAUAUCAGGAGGAACACCGGUGGCGAAGGCGGAUCUCUGGGCCGAUACUGACGCUGAGGAGCGAAAGCGUGGGGAGCGAACAGGAUUAGAUACCCUGGUAGUCCACGCCGUAAACGGUGGGCACUAGGUGUG